Molecule: long non-coding RNA, 139 nt
Organism: Sphaeramia orbicularis (orbiculate cardinalfish)
Lineage: Eukaryota; Metazoa; Chordata; Actinopteri; Kurtiformes; Apogonidae
Exons: 3
Source: RefSeq, a predicted model, not a curated record
UAUGACUGUUGCUCAGAUUAAACCAUUUAAAAGGACUGUUGUCUUUGUCCCAGUCUACAUGCACAGGAGUGUAUUUGAUUUAUUGUUGAAAUAAAUGUUGCCUCCACUAUGAUAAGUGGCAUUUGCACUCUUUCAGCUC